UACGUAGGGUGCAAGCGUUAUCCAGAUUUACUGGGCGUAAAGCGCACGCAGGCGGAUGAUUAAGCCAGCUGUGAAAGCUCCCGGCUCAACUGGGAAGGGUCGGCUGAAACUAGUCGUCUGGAGGGCAACAGAGGAGUGUAGAAUUGCGGGUGUAGUGGUGAAAUGCGUAGAUAUCCGCAGGAAUACCAGUGGCGAAGGCGGCACUCUGGGUUGUACCUGACGCUGAUGUGCGAAGGCUAGGGGAGCGAACAGG
Molecule: ribosomal RNA, 253 nt
Filed under: uncultured bacterium
Lineage: Bacteria
Description: partial 16S ribosomal RNA
Rfam family: Bacterial small subunit ribosomal RNA
Source: RNAcentral